RNAcentral lists this ribosomal RNA (498 nucleotides) under uncultured bacterium. RNAcentral's name for it is "bacterial SSU rRNA". It matches the Rfam family "Bacterial small subunit ribosomal RNA", at positions 28 to 545 of the family's 1533-position model. The record is from RNAcentral.
AGUGAACGCUGGCGGCGUGCUUAACACAUGCAAGUCGAACGGAUGAAAUAAGCUUGCUUAUUUCGUUAGUGGCGCACGGGUGAGUAAUGUAUAGCUAACCUGCCCUUUAGUGGGGGGCAACAGAUGGAAACGUCUGCUAAUACCCCAUACUCCUGCGUAUCAUAAGAUAUGUUGGGAAAGAUUUAUUGCUAAAGGAUGGGGCUUUAUGGUAUCAGCUAGUUGGUGGGGUAACGGCCUACCAAGGCAAUGACGCCUACCUGGUCUGAGAGGAUGAUCAGGCACACUGGAACUGAGACACGGUCCAGACUCCUACGGGAGGCAGCAGUGGGGAAUAUUGCACAAUGGGGGAAACCCUGAUGCAGCAACGCCGCGUGGAGGAUGACGCAUUUCGGUGUGUAAACUCCUUUUAUAAGGGAAGAUAAUGACGGUACCUUAUGAAUAAGCACCGGCUAACUCCGUGCCAGCAGCCGCGGUAAUACGGAGGGUGCAAGCGUUACU